This 1040-nucleotide unclassified non-coding RNA is filed under the name Hevea brasiliensis (rubber tree). Lineage: Eukaryota; Viridiplantae; Streptophyta; Magnoliopsida; Malpighiales; Euphorbiaceae. The record is from RNAcentral.
UUGCGAUCAGUUCGGUACAAUUCAAACAAGGAUCUUGAAUUUCCACCAUCAAGCUACAACAGCUGUAGAUCAAACGCUUCAAGAGUUAAUGGAAAUGGACAGGCUCAAAAGUUCAGCAACGUGGCUUCUCAAGUAAGGAAAAUGAAAGGAUUGCAAAAAGAAGAAGAGAUUUUGCUAGAACAAACAUGUACAAGGGAAAAGGUGGCAGACUUCAGAACAUCAAGGCUGAAAGUUGCAAGAGAUAAGAAAUUGAGAAAAGGAACUCGAAGGGUCUUUAAAGAGAAGCCAUUAGAACUAGAUGGAAGACCACAUGAACCAGAAAGGAUUCCACGAAAUGCAGUAAUGAAGAGUAAGUAUGUGACUGAACCUCGAAGAACAGGUGGGAUGGUUGAAAGGGAGGAUUGUAAGUUGGCAGCUGCUGAUUCAAGGAAAGAUUGCUGCGUCUCUUCCAUGUCUUCAAGAGAUUCUUAUGGAAGGAAAAUUGAUGAGGAUUGUGUUUUUGCUGGUGAGAAUGGAAGUGAUGGAUUUUCUUUAGAAAAGUUUAGCUUUGAGUGGCCGAAGUUGAAAGAGAAGAAGAUUGAAGCGCUGAAGUCAAGAAGUGAAGAACAGCGGAAAUCUCUGUAUGUAAGGAGGGACUUACAGAGAAAAAGACAAAGGCAGAGAGUUUAUUCUCCAAGAACAGCUUCAAAAGUCGAAAUUUGCAAAAUAAAAGCACUAGAAGACAUGAAGAAAGCUAAGUUGAAAAUGAAACAGAAGGCAGAGGAAAAAGAAAUGGAGGCAUUCAAGGGCUUAGAGAGCUUUAUGGUGGUGAAAUGUUCAUAUGAUCCCCAGAAGGACUUCAGAGAUUCAAUGAUUGAGAUGAUUAAAGAGCAGAGAAUGAGCCAGCCAGAAGAGCUUGAAGAACUCUUGGCAUGCUAUCUGACAUUGAAUUCUGAUGAGUUCCAUCAUCUCAUCAUCAGGGUAUUCCGGCAAGUAUGGUUCGACCUGAACCAAGCUUGUUUCGAUAUUGAAUUCACUAAUGAAGAGUGUUACUAGGAGUU